GCGGAUGUGAUGGAACUUGGUAGACAUGCAAGAUUUAGGUUCUUGUGCCGCAAGGCGUGGGGGUUCAAGUCCCUUCAUCCGUACCA
RNAcentral lists this transfer RNA (86 nucleotides) under Rickettsia endosymbiont of Diachasma alloeum. RNAcentral's name for it is "tRNA-Leu". It matches the Rfam family "tRNA". From Rfam's summary of the family: Transfer RNA (tRNA) molecules are approximately 80 nucleotides in length. The record is from RNAcentral. Lineage: Bacteria; Pseudomonadati; Pseudomonadota; Alphaproteobacteria; Rickettsiales; Rickettsiaceae.